Long non-coding RNA from Bombina bombina (fire-bellied toad), 1261 nucleotides. RefSeq lists it as uncharacterized. NCBI's taxonomy places the organism in Eukaryota, Metazoa, Chordata, Amphibia, Anura, Bombinatoridae. The transcript has 2 exons. The record is from RefSeq and is a predicted model, not a curated record.
AAACUACUUGGAUAUUAAAGGCUUACUGGAUGUCACCUGCAAGACUGUUGCAAAUAUGAUCAAGGGUAAAACUCCAGAAGAAAUUAGAAAGACCUUUAACAUAAAAAAUGACUUCACUGAAGAGGAAGAAGCACAGGUACGCAAAGAAAAUCAAUGGUGUGAAGAGAAGUGAAAUGGCAUGCAUGCUGUCACUGUAACACUGUAAGAAUUGUUCCAAAUAACUAGUUGCACUGCUCUGUUUAUAAUAGAGAAUUCAGCAGCUUAUCCUAUUAGCAGCAGGGAGUUUUGCUGCAUGUCAUUUUUCUUUAUACUCUUGUUUUCUUCCCUGAGUAAUGAUUCAGAAACUGUUUUUACAAUUGUAAUCUUGCGUUUUUUUUAAUUAUUUUUUUUCUUCAAACCUAUAUAAUAAAGCCGUAAUCUUUGUGCUUUAACAAUAAGUUGGUAUCCAAGUUGUCAUUUUGUUAUAGAAAAAACACAGUUCAUAAAUCAGUCCAAAAAAGAGGGGAACACAAUUUAUUAUCAUAGUUAACCAGUUAUGUUUUUAAAGGUUAUAAAGAACCCCUAAAUGUUACAUUUGGGCUACAGAUUUUCUAUUUGUACAUGGUAAAGAUGUAUGAAGACUAAAAGAUACAGAUCCUAACCUUUCCAAAACAAACUUUUACUCCCCUUUUUUAUAAUUUUCUUUAAUACCUUGAAGGCCUUCUGAAGUUUGCAGUUCAUUGUCUGUCUGCUUCUGUGGUCUAAAAAGUUAAGACCAACUGCUACCUUUUUUAACGUUCAAUUUUAAAUCCUCUUUCCAUGCAUCAACUCAGGAGAUUGUUUUAACAAUUCAAGAAGAACCUGUGUUUUUUUCCCCCUUCUCUUACUUGCCCUGUGUUAAUGUAUUUAUUUUUGGGAGGAUGGGAAGCUGUUCUGAGUGAUUUGAAUUUAGAUGGAGUAACAAACCACUAAAUCUUCCUCCUUUAUAUGAAAGGGUUCAGUUUACAGUCUUAUUAUCAGUGUUCUGAUGAAAAUGGCAGUCUUAUGUGUCCUCAUACCUUUCUAUUUUCACAUCUAUGCUAGAGAUGCAUGUAGUGUUGAUGUCCUUUUUGCUCUGAAGUUCUGAACAAAUAAAGUCCUACAUAAAUUGUGAUGUUCUUGUUUACUGUUCUGAUUAAGCUUCAAUAUAUGCUUCAUCCCACUGUUGUAUUGUGUUCAUUAUAAACUUAAUCUGUAUGGCAGGUUUGACCUUUCCUAAUAAAUUUACUUUAAAUAUUUGCUU